This 463-nucleotide long non-coding RNA is filed under the name Mytilus galloprovincialis (Mediterranean mussel). Lineage: Eukaryota; Metazoa; Mollusca; Bivalvia; Mytilida; Mytilidae. The record is from RNAcentral.
UGUAAAUUGAAGAUGAUACUUGCAUCUACUGCAUUUACCAAGCAUAUUUUUUUGUGAAUUUUAUAUUGGGUAAAUGAUUGACGGAUCCAGGGUCAGGGGGUUCCGGGAAUUUGAACCCCCCUUUUUUUGCCGAUCAAUUUAUUUGAAUGGGGACAUAUAGUUGGAACCCCCCUUUUAAAAUGGUUGGAUCCACCCCUGGUAAAUUAUUUAUGGAAAAUUGCAAAAUACAAAUAAAUAUUUUAUUGGCACAAACUCAAUUACAAUAAUUGGCAACGGCCCAUACAACAAGUAUACAAAUAGUAAUGAUGCAGCAAUUAAACAAUACUACAUAGCAUAUCAUUGGGCACAUUUCAAACAAUGAAAUGUGCAGUUAUAAAUAUAUCAAUAUAUAUAGGUUAAUUUGUAAGAAUAGACUACUGACAUACGUAUAUUGUAUGUUAUAGCUUCAAAUUGUUCAUAUUAC